RNAcentral lists this long non-coding RNA (1292 nucleotides) under Callithrix jacchus (white-tufted-ear marmoset). Its description in RNAcentral is "lncRNA (ENSCJAG00000073627.1)". The record is from RNAcentral. Lineage: Eukaryota; Metazoa; Chordata; Mammalia; Primates; Cebidae.
AAUUUAUAUCAUCCCCAAAUUCUGAGAUUCCCUGAAUAAUACACACCUGUGGAAUAAUCAGAAAUUUAUUUCCUAUGGCCCCUCAUUAGGACCACCAGAAAAUAAUACACAACUGGGGAAUAGUCAGGAGUCUAUUUCAUAUGGCCACUCAGAACCUCAGUGAAUACACACCACGGUAAUAGUCAGGAGCCUGUUUCAUAUGACCACUGAUUCAGUAUCUCACUGAGUGAUACAUACCUGGGAAAUCGUCAGGAUUCUAUUCCAUGUGACCACUCAUCCAGAGCCUUACAGAAUAAUGCACAAUGGGGCAAUAGUCAGGAAUCCAUUUCAUAUGGACCCUCAUUCAGAGCUUCAGUGAAUAAUGACACCUGUGGAGUAGUCACUACCCUAUUUAACAUAGCCACAAAUUAAGCACUUCCCUGAAUGAUACACACCUGGGUGAUAGGACUCUAUUUGAUAUGAACACUCAUACAGAACCUCUUUGAAUAAUACAUAUGUGGGAAAUAACCACUAGUCUAUCUCAUAUGGUGAUUAAUUGAGAGAAUCAAUGAAGAACACACACCUGUGGAGUAAAAUAAAAUCUAUUUCAUAUGGCCACUCUUUCAGGGCCUGAGAGAAUAAUAUACUUCUGGGAAAUAGUCAAGAGUCUACUUCAAAUGGCUACACAUUCAGAGUCUCUGUAAAUUAUGCACACCAGGGAGAUAGUCAGGAAUCUCUUUCUUCUGUCCACUGAUUCAGAGCCUCUUUUAAUAAUACACACCUGGGGAAGAGUUAGUAGUCUACCUCAUAUAGCCACUCAUUUAGAGCCUCAAUGAAUAAUGCGCACUUGGGGAAUAGACACUAGUCUUUUUUAUAUGGCCACAAAAAUCAAAGCCUGAGUAAGUAAUGCACAACUUUGGAAUAGUGAGGAGCCUAUUCCAUAUGCCUACUUUAUCAGAGUCUCAGUCAAUAAUACACACCUGGGGAAUAGUCACAAGUCUAUUUCAUGUGGUCACUAACUCAAAGUCUCAUUAAAUAAUAUACACUUGUGGACUAGUCAAAAGUCUAUUUCAUAUGGCCAAACUUUCAGAGCCUCAGUGAAUAAGGCAUACCUGGGGAAUACUCAGGACGCUGUUGCAUAUGGCGUCCGAUUCAGAGCUUCACUGAAUAAGGAACACCUGUAGAGUAGCCAGAAGUCUAUUUCAUAUAGCCACACAUUCAGAGCCUCACUGAAUAAUAUACACAUGGGGUAAAGACAAAAUUCUAUUUCGUAUGGCCACUCAUUCAGAGCCCUACCUAAAAAUGCACGCCUG